GGGAAACGGGGUGGAGAAACAACACAGACACAAAAGUGAAGGUGCUGAAUCCCAAUCUUUACUUGUGAAGUUAAUCAUAUAUACUCUGCGUUUUGGCAGGCUCGAAGUAUUUUGUGGUUACAAAACAGGAAUCAUUAUUCAAAGAAACAAAAUAUUAUGUAGCUACAAUUAGAUAAGAAGAAUGUAUCUUGGCUUAUGCAUAAGCAAGCAUUUUUACUUUCAGUUCCCGUUUUGCUUUGAGCUGUUUCUGCUUAGUUAGCUUUUAAUAAUAGUUAGAAAUGUCCCAGACUAUUGGCCUGUACCUUGACUAUUCUUUCUUGACUUACUGACUAGAACCGGCGCUGCAGUUAUGGCAGAUGGUUCACUUGAAAAGAGAGGCUACUAAUUUUAAUCAAACGAGCAAGAGCACAAACCAUUGUGCACAGGAACAAGAACAAGUUACCCAGUACUAAGCACUAAUCUUUCUUCUUAAUAUUAAUUCUUCUUCUCUAGAUUUAAUUUAAUUUCUCAAAAACUUCCUUGACUGUUUUUCCCACAGGGAGUUUCUCAUUAAACAUUAACAAUUUACUUUCCACAGCUGAAUCGUUGCAUUUAGAGCAAACAGAUUUAUUCUUUAGAAGUAGUUGCAUUAAUUGGGAAAGUCACUUUUUUUCCUUCAUACUUAAUGGUCAUAUGAGAAGUCGCAACUAUACUUAUUAAAAGAAUACAAAAACAAACCAGCCAAUUCCUAGAAGCAUACUGCACUCCUCCAGAGAAUGGACGCCUUGUGCCUUCCACCUCAGUAGGGCCUUGCCAUUGCCUGAGUCAGGGGAGGGGCGCAGCACCCAUCCACUGGAAACUUAAUAAAUUUGUCUAUCAUAUAUAUUUCAUAUAAUAGGGGUUCUUUUCACUUAGCUUACUUCCCUUGAAAACCAUGUUGUCAGGCUUCACCCAUGUUGUAGCAUAUACCAGAGCUUCAUUCUGUUCUCUGGAUGAAUAAUAUAAAAAGCGCAUACCACAUUUUAUUUAUCCAUUCAUCUGUUGACAGACACUUAGGUUGUUUGAGUAUUGUGAAUAGUGCUUCAAACAUAAUUUUUAUACAAGUAUCUGGUUGAGUCCCUGUGUUUGGGCCUUUGGGGUAUAUAAAUAAGAGUAGAAUUAUAGAGUCAUAUGGUUAAUUCAGCAUAUAGCUUUUUGAGGAGCAGUGAGUGACU
RNAcentral lists this long non-coding RNA (1193 nucleotides) under Marmota monax (woodchuck). Lineage: Eukaryota; Metazoa; Chordata; Mammalia; Rodentia; Sciuridae. The record is from RNAcentral.